GCUCAACCGGGGAGGGUCAUUGGAAACUGGGGAACUUGAGUGCAGAAGAGGAGAGUGGAAUUCCACGUGUAGCGGUGAAAUGCGUAGAGAUGUGGAGGAACACCAGUGGCGAAGGCGACUCUCUGGUCUGUAACUGACGCUGAGGCGCGAAAGCGUGGGGAGCGAACAGGAUUAGAUACCCUGGUAGUCCACGCCGUAAACGAUGAGUGCUAAGUGUUAGAGGGUUUCCGCCCUUUAGUGCUGCACCAAACGCAUUAAGCACUCCGCCUGGGGAGUACGGUCGCAAGACUGAAACUCAAAGGAAUUGACGGGGGCCCGCACAAGCGGUGGAGCAUGUGGUUUAAUUCGAAGCAACGCGAAGAACCUUACCAGGUCUUGACAUCCUCUGACAACCCUAGAGAUAGGGCUUCCCCUUCGGGGGCAGAGUGACAGGUGGUGCAUGGUUGUCGUCAGCUCGUGUCGUGAGAUGUUGGGUUAAGUCCCGCAACGAGCGCAACCCUUAUUACUAGUUGCCAGCAUUUAGUUGGGCACUCUAGUGAGACUGCCGGUGACAAACCGGAGGAAGGUGGGGAUGACGUCAAAUCAUCAUGCCCCUUAUGACCUGGGCUACACACGUGCUACAAUGGCGUAUACAACG
This 637-nucleotide ribosomal RNA is filed under the name uncultured bacterium. RNAcentral's name for it is "bacterial SSU rRNA". It matches the Rfam family "Bacterial small subunit ribosomal RNA", at positions 607 to 1244 of the family's 1533-position model. The record is from RNAcentral.